CAACUACUCCCUCUGUCCCAAAUUUCUUGUCUUAGAUUUGUCUAGAUACGGAUGUAUCUAAUACUAAAAUGUGACUUGAUACAUCCAUAUCUAGACAAAUCUAAGACAAGAAUUUUGGGACGGAGGGAGUACUUU
This is a non-coding RNA of Triticum aestivum (bread wheat), 135 nucleotides long. NCBI's taxonomy places the organism in Eukaryota, Viridiplantae, Streptophyta, Magnoliopsida, Poales, Poaceae. The record is from Rfam.